CACGUAGUUAGCCGUGGCUUUCUGGUUAAGUACCGUCAUCUCAAGGCCAGUUACUACCUCAAGUGUUCUUCCUUAACAACAGAGUUUUACGAGCCGAAACCCUUCAUCACUCACGCGGCGUUGCUCCGUCAGACUUUCGUCCAUUGUGGAAGAUUCCCUACUGCUGCCUCCCGUAGGAGUUUGGGCCGUGUCUCAGUCCCAAUGUGGCCGAUCAGUCUCUCAACUCGGCUAUGCAUCAUUGCCUUGGUAAGCCGUUACCUUACCAACUAGCUAAUGCACCGCAGGUCCAUCCAAGAGUGAUAGCAGAACCAUCUUUCAAACUCUAGACAUGCGUCUAGUGUUGUUAUCCGGUAUUAGCAUCUGUUUCCAGGUGUUAUCCCAGUCUCUUGGGCAGGUUACCCACGUGUUACUCACCCGUCCGCCGCUCGCUUGUAUCUAGUUUCAUUUAGUGCAAGCACUAAAAUCAUCUAGGCAAGCUCGCUCGACUUGC
Molecule: ribosomal RNA, 490 nt
Filed under: uncultured Lactobacillus sp.
Lineage: Bacteria; Bacillati; Bacillota; Bacilli; Lactobacillales; Lactobacillaceae
Description: partial 16S ribosomal RNA
Source: RNAcentral